Molecule: ribosomal RNA, 413 nt
Filed under: Heterosigma akashiwo
Lineage: Eukaryota; Raphidophyceae; Chattonellales; Chattonellaceae
Description: partial Eukaryotic small subunit ribosomal RNA
Rfam family: Eukaryotic small subunit ribosomal RNA
Source: RNAcentral
CCUGCCAGUAGUCAUAUGCUUGUCUCAAAGAUUAAGCCAUGCAUGUCUAAGUAUAAACGACUCUAUACUGUGAAACUGCGAAUGGCUCAUUAUAUCAGUUAUAGUUUAUUUGAUAGUCCCUACUACUUGGAUAACCGUAGUAAUUCUAGAGCUAAUACAUGCAUUCAAGCCCCGACUUCUGGAAGGGGUGUAUUUAUUAGAUAAAAAACCAACGCCCUUCGGGGCUCCUUGGUGAUUCAUAAUAACUAAACGAAUCGCAUGGCCUUGCGCCGGCGAUGGUUCAUUCAAAUUUCUGCCCUAUCAACUUUCGAUGGUAGGAUAGUGGCCUACCAUGGUAUCAACGGGUAACGGGGAAUUAGGGUUCUAUUCCGGAGAGGGAGCCUGAGAAAUGGCUACCACAUCCAAGGAAGGCA